GAAAUGCGAUACGUAAUGUGAAUUGCAAAUUCAGUGAAUCAUCGAGUCUUUGAACGCACAUUGCGCCCCCUGGUAUUCCGGGGGGCAUGCCUGUCCGAGCGUCAUUUCUGCCCUCAAGCACGGAUUGUGUGUUGGGCCCCGUCCUCCGAUCCCGGGGGACGGGCCCGAAAGGCAGCGGCGGCACCGCGUCCGGUCCUCGAGCGUAUGGGGCUUUGUCACCCGCUCUGUAGGCCCGGCCGGCGCUUGCCGAUCAACCCAAAUUUUUAUCCAGGUUGACCUCGGAUCAGGUAGGGAUACCCGCUGAACUUAAGC
This 312-nucleotide unclassified non-coding RNA is filed under the name plant metagenome. RNAcentral's name for it is "partial contains 5.8S ribosomal RNA, internal transcribed spacer 2, and large subunit ribosomal RNA". The stretch from base 1 to 104 matches the Rfam family "5.8S ribosomal RNA", at positions 50 to 154 of the family's 154-position model. The record is from RNAcentral.